GUGCUCACUGCAGCACAUAUACUAAAAUUUGAAUGAUACAGAGAAGAUUAGCAUGGCCCUUGUGCAAGGAUGACACAUGAAGUGUCAUGAACAUUCAUGAAGUGUUCUAUAUUUUU
Molecule: small nuclear RNA, 116 nt
Filed under: Camelus dromedarius (Arabian camel)
Lineage: Eukaryota; Metazoa; Chordata; Mammalia; Artiodactyla; Camelidae
Source: RNAcentral